RNAcentral lists this ribosomal RNA (488 nucleotides) under uncultured bacterium. RNAcentral's name for it is "bacterial SSU rRNA". It matches the Rfam family "Bacterial small subunit ribosomal RNA", at positions 28 to 524 of the family's 1533-position model. The record is from RNAcentral.
GAUGAACGCUGGCGGCGUGCCUAAUACAUGCAAGUCGAACGAGGUGCUUUUGUAGUAAUACGAAAGUGUCCUAGUGGCGAACGGGUGAGUAACGCGUUGGUGACCUACCCCAAAGUGUGGGAUAACAGUUCGAAAGGAUUGCUAAUACCGCAUGUGGUCUUCGGAUUUAGAAACUGAUGACUAAAGGAGUAAUCCGCUUUGGGAGGGACCUGCGUCCCAUCAGCUAGUUGGUGAGGUAAUGGCUCACCAAGGCUACGACGGGUAGGGGACCUGAGAGGGUGACCCCCCCACAAUGGAACUGAAACACGGUCCAUACACCUACGGGUGGCAGCAGUAGGGAAUAUUGCACAAUGGGCGAAAGCCUGAUGCAGCAACGCCGCGUGUGCGAUGAAGGCCUUCGGGUCGUAAAGCACUUUUCUGAGGGAUGAGCAAGGACAGUACCUCAGGAAUAACGUCUCGGCUAACUACGUGCCAGCAGCCGCGGUAAU